This 406-nucleotide ribosomal RNA is filed under the name uncultured bacterium. Its description in RNAcentral is "bacterial SSU rRNA". It matches the Rfam family "Bacterial small subunit ribosomal RNA", at positions 354 to 776 of the family's 1533-position model. The record is from RNAcentral.
GCAGGGAAUCUUGCGCAAUGGGCGAAAGCCUGACGCAGCGACACCGCGUGGAGGAAGAAGGCCUUCGGGUCGUAAACUCCUUUUCUGGGGGAAGAGAAAGGACGGUACCCCAGGAAUAAGCCUCGGCUAACUACGUGCCAGCAGCCGCGGUAAUACGUAGGAGGCGAGCGUUGUCCGGAUUUACUGGGCGUAAAGGGGGUGUAGGCGGUUCAGGUAGUCCUUGGUGAAAUCUCCCAGCUUAACUGGGAGGGGUCUGAGGAUACUCCUGGACUUGAGGGCAGUAGAGGAGAGUGGAAUUCCCGGUGGAGUGGUGAAAUGCGUAGAUAUCGGGAGGAACACCCGUGGCGAAAGCGGCUCUCUGGGCUGUACCUGACGCUGAGGCCCGAAAGCGUGGGGAGCGAACCGG